Molecule: small nuclear RNA, 151 nt
Filed under: Neotoma lepida (desert woodrat)
Lineage: Eukaryota; Metazoa; Chordata; Mammalia; Rodentia; Cricetidae
Description: 7SK RNA
Rfam family: 7SK RNA
About the family: 7SK was discovered as an abundant small nuclear RNA in the mid-70s but a possible function has only recently been suggested. Two independent studies have found that 7SK RNA binds the CDK9/cyclin T complex (known as elongation factor P-TEFb). P-TEFb activates transcription by phosphorylating the C-terminal domain of RNA polymerase II.
Source: Rfam by way of RNAcentral
UCAAGUUCAGGGUAUAUGAGUACAUGCGUUCCCUGCUAGAACCUCCAAACCAGUUCUCAAGGUACACUCACAGUAAAAUGGGUUAAUUAAACUUCCAUGACUAAAGACAUAUCCAGCUGUGUGGUGAAGCAUGUGACAGUUUGCCUUUGUU